Long non-coding RNA from Equus caballus (horse), 3627 nucleotides. Lineage: Eukaryota; Metazoa; Chordata; Mammalia; Perissodactyla; Equidae. The record is from Ensembl.
UGUAAUAGAAGUGAGCUUGACCAUAUGCUUCCAAUUCCUUCUGCUCAUGACUGCCAUCACCCGGUCCCUGGGGACAUGGGUCAGCCUCACAAUGAAGGCAGACGCCCUGCAGAGGGGAAGGACUUAGGGAUCCGAGGCGUGGGGUCAGGGUCCUUUAAGGAACUGGGUGAGCUUGAGCAAGCCACUGAACAUCUCUAUGUCCUUGAGUGAAAAAGGAGAACAACAGAUGUCCUGGUUUUCUCAUAGAGUUACAAUAAAGAUCAAAUGAGACAAUGCUUGAAAAAGCCCUUUGAGAAAUACGAAGCAGGGUAAAUUCAGAGUGGGCUUUGGAAUGUCCUCAAUUGUUGCCUGCCUUUUGGCAGGAAUGCUCAGCUCCUUGCCAGAAGUUGAGGAAUGUCCAAAUAAGACAGGAUAUACUGUUGCCCCAACUUAACUUUCCAACCUCAUUUCCCAUGAUGCCUGUCAUUCACCCUACUGAGUUAUUUCCAACCAAGUGAAGGCCCAAGAGUCUACAGCAGUGGUUUUGAAAGUAUGGUCCAGGAUCCUGGGAGGGCCCUAAGACCCUUUCAGGAGGCCUGUAAGAUCAAAACUAUUUCCUGGUCAUACUAAGACAUUAUUUGCCUUUUCACAUGCAUUCUCUCAGGAGUGUACAGUGGAAGUUUCUAGAAUCUACAUGAUGUAUGCUAUCUCACUUUCAGUUUCUAAUGCAGAAGCAGGGAUAAGAAUCCACCUUCAUUUAUUACGUCAUUAAAUAGAUUUACAAUGCCACUUUUUACCCUAAAUUAUUUUUAUUUUGGAAAACAUAAGUUUCAUAAAAAUAUUUGUUAACAUGGAAUAAACUUUUAUUAUUUUUCAACAAAUAUUUUUAGAUUCUUAGUUGUAAUUUCUAAUAUAGUAAAUUUGUGGUUGUUAGUGCUGUUGAGUAGAUUCUAACCUCUAGCAACCCGGUGUCCAGCAGAGCGGAACCUGCCCAGUCUUUUUGCACCAUUCUCUCACCUUCCGGCACUAAAUCAGACAACACUCUACUGCUAUGCCUAGGGUCUUCAGGGCUAAUCUUGGCAGAAGUGGGCGGCCAGGUCCUUCUUCCUAGUCUGUCCAGGAAGCUCCACUGAAACCUGCCCACCACGAUUGACCCUGCAGGUAUUUGAAACAGCGGUGGCAUAGCUUUCAGCAUCACAGCAACACACAGCUGCAGGACAACCAACAGUGGGGAGGGGGACCAAGGAGUGUGGUUCCCUGACUGGGAAAUGAACCUGGGCCGCAGCACUAAGAGUGCCAAAUCUUAACCACUAGACCUCCAGGGCUGGCUAUAAUGCACUGAAUGUGAGUAGAUAUAACUUGAAUAAACAAAAGUUCUCUGUGGUCCUCCAACAUUUUUAAGAAUAGAGGUCCUGAGACCAAAAUGUUUGAGAGCCCCUGUGUCUAGAGCAGACAGCAGGAAGCUCAAACGCUGCGAGAGGGGGCAGCAGAAGGCUGCAGGAGCAGACCCAGUGGCUGCGUGAAGGGUUCUGGUCUUUAUCCAAGAGCAACAUCAGGCUGUUCCAUACACGCAGAGGCUGCAGUUACUGUUCCCUUCUCUGCACGUGACAAGUGUACAGAAUUAUUCAUUGUUCAACUUACCUUUCCACUCGAUGAUGAUUCAUUAUAAAAAAUGAAUUCAUAAAGCUCCGUCAUAAAGCUUCACCACACUAUAAUGAAUCUCAAGGUUGCAUUCAAAAAGAAUAACUUCCCCUACAUGGUCAGAUGCAGUGUCUGUGCUUAGCUUUUUUUUUUUUUUUUGAGGAAGAUUAGCCCUGAGCUAACAUCCGUGCCCAUCUUCCUCCACUUUAUACGUGGGACGGCUACCACAGCAUGGUGUGCCAAGCGGUGCCAUAUCUGCACCCGGGAUCUGAACUGGCAACCCCCGGGCCGCCAAAGCAGAAUGUGCAAACUUAACCGCUGCACCACCGGGCCGGCCCCUGUGCUUAGCUUUUAAAACCAAGUUCUUGGUUAAUUUGGAAGUGUAAAAUGUUUACAAAUGAGCUUACUUCUAUCUCCCAAUAUCAGGAGCCCACAUUCCAGGGGAGCCAGACUCAGGGUGAGAGCUCAUGCUGAGGACACUCCGUGGGGAGCGGGAGCCCUGGGAAAGACAGCCCUUCCCGAUUCGGUGCGGCCCUCCUGGCUGCUCGCAGGCCCUCUCUGCUGCUCGCACUGGCUCUCUCUGGCCUCCGCCUCGGACGGUGUCACAGACUGUACUCAUCUCCAGCCCCUUCGCAUCUCCUCACUCUCAGAAAACUCGCUUUUGUCCUCACCGAGAGGCUCAAGGCAGGAAGCUAUGGAGUUAAUAGUCACGCACUAGGACUAUAAAAUGUAUGACUAGUGACUUUAUCAUCAGCACGAUAAAAAUAAUUAUCUUAAUAUGCAGUUCCCAGGAAUAAAUAGCAACUGAAAGUGUGAUUCUGAUUUUAACAACAUGAAAAUAAUCUCAGUUAGUAAAAUCACUGAGCAAAGACAGAUGUGAGCCAUGUCAAGGUAGGGGAAUGUGUGUCAAGAGGGUCUAUGGAAUGCAGCCAGAGGACAAGGCAAGUCACGGCAAAAGCGUUUAUCUGAGCACAUUCUCCAGGGACGGCAGCUGGAGCCAGAGCCCUGUGACUCGGCACAGCCCGGACCUGAGGGCAAGCAGCUGAUAAGGGUCAGAACCUUCCAUCAAGACGGAGACGGUCAAACAUCAAGAAGAUGACAGAUCUUUACAAACGCUAAAGACAUCUGAGCAGAAAGAUGCAUGGAGUUGAAACUUCUUGAAGGGUGAAGAUCAUGGCUCACCAGCUUUCAAACCCUCCAGCCUCUGUAGCAGCUCUCACUCAAAGUCACAGUUUCUAAAUACCUGCUGCUCUUGGUUAUCUGUUCAGAACUGGAAAAGGCUACGUUCCACGUGAUGGCGUCACACUGUUCUUUCCAGAACAUCUGACGACUCUGCAGUCAUGAAUGAAUUCUCACAGGGUGGCAGGUGAAAAUUAUUAUUCUCCUUCCAGAUGAGGAAAUGGCUGCCCAGAGUGGACCGUGACUCACUCGGCUCCCUGGAUCUUUUUAAUGAGCGGUUCACACCCAACUGCCCUGACUUAAAAUUCUACACAAAUCACCCCCGCUUUAGUUUUGGCUUCUUUUUUUCAGAGGAAGCAUGUUAACAUUUAGUGUGCUGUGAGCAAAGCCAGCGAUCUGGGGUGAGAGGGACAUGAGGAACCUGCGGCUCUCUGGCCUGGAGAAGAGAAGAAACAGAGAGACAUGGAGGCUGUCCUUCACUCUAAGAACGGUGGGUGUGUAGGAGAGAGAGAAGGCUGUGUUACACCUUGGCAGAUGGAACUGGAAGGAAGGAACAGAAAGGCAGGCCAAGCUCUGGGGAGCUUCUGCUGAGUCUGUUUAUACAAUCCUCCAGGAGAACUUCUCCUCCUCCUUCAAAUCCAAACCACAGGACCCAUCCUUUGAGAAGUUUCUCCUGCUGUUGCCGCUCGAAGCAAGAGAUCACUUCACUGAAAUCCCUUAGCUUUCUCACAUGUCUAUCCAAUAGCAUCAAAAUCACACUUCCUUUCUGGCCCGCCAACUAGAACAUGAGCUCCAUGUGGGCAGAAGCCAUGUCAUCUUCACCCUGUG